UACGUAGGGGGCAAGCGUUGUCCGGAAUCAUUGGGCGUAAAGAGCGUGUAGGCGGCCCGGUAAGUCCGCUGUGAAAGUCCAGGGCUCAACCCUGGGAUGCCGGUGGAUACUGUCGGGCUCGAGUCCGGAAGAGGAGUGUGGAAUUCCCGGUGUAGCGGUGAAAUGCGCAGAUAUCGGGAAGAACACCCGUGGCGAAGGCGGUUCUCUGGGACGGUACUGACGCUGAGACGCGAAAGCGUGGGGAGCGAACAGG
RNAcentral lists this ribosomal RNA (253 nucleotides) under uncultured bacterium. RNAcentral's name for it is "partial 16S ribosomal RNA". It matches the Rfam family "Bacterial small subunit ribosomal RNA", at positions 524 to 776 of the family's 1533-position model. The record is from RNAcentral.